UGGGACAGCAGCUCUCCUAAUAUAGAUGAUACUCUGAUAUUUAAUGACGUUUACUAUGAGAUAACUUUGCUUUGGUAAAACUGAGUUUUAUACAUGCUGUUUAAUAAAGACACGGAGUAAAUAAGGUUAAACUAAUAAAGAUGAUUAUAUUUUACACAUAAACAUUUCAGAUUAAACUAGGUCAACGGUCAAAUUGAAUACACUCUUAGUAUACUCAGUGCAUGACUGUCAUGGUUCACUGUGUGGCAGACAGGGUUGGACUCAAACACAGGACUCGGAAACCCAGACAUAAAACACAAAAGUAGCUUCAUUGCUGAAAUUAUAACACAAGGCAGGAGCCUCUCCAACGAGAGAAACAUAACUUGGAGACACACAAGGAUGAAACACAGAGCAUGAGGAACAAUGCAACAAAGAACAAAGAGAGACUCACACAAAAUAUUCCCAUUAGGUAGUUUGGAAGAUGGGAAAUGCCAGGGAACAAGACAAGGGGACGCAAAUCUAAA
This is a long non-coding RNA of Oreochromis niloticus (Nile tilapia), 503 nucleotides long. RefSeq lists it as uncharacterized. The transcript is spliced from 2 exons. Lineage: Eukaryota; Metazoa; Chordata; Actinopteri; Cichliformes; Cichlidae. The record is from RefSeq and is a predicted model, not a curated record.